RNAcentral lists this long non-coding RNA (808 nucleotides) under Homo sapiens (human). Its description in RNAcentral is "non-protein coding lnc-RWDD3-7:3". Lineage: Eukaryota; Metazoa; Chordata; Mammalia; Primates; Hominidae. The record is from RNAcentral.
CACUGCAAUAAUCCAGGAGAGAAAUCAUGUGAGCUUGAGAAGGAAUCAGAUUCUGCAUAUAUUUCCAAGUUAACAUGAACAAGAUUUUCUGAAAGACUGCUAUGGAGUCUGAGAAAAAAUGUCAAAGGUAGUGCCAAAAUUGUCACUUAAAGAACUGCAGGAAUGGAGUUGGCAUUUACAGAAUUUGGAAGAGAAGCAGGUUUAGUGAUAAAGACCAGAAGCACAGAGCUAAGCAUAUUAAACAUAUGCACAUGAACACUGGAUAUGCGAAUGCACAGAUUGAGGACAUGAAGAGGAAAGAACUGACAGAGGAGGUGAAGAAAGGUGAUCAGGAAGAGCCAUCAAAGUGUUAUCCUGGAAUUCAAGUGAAGACAGUGUUUCAAAGUGGAAAUGAACAGUGUCCUGUAACCCUCAGAGUGAGACUAGAGUCAGAAUGCAGGCUUUUCUCAUUUGAAAUCUAUAUGCCACAGAGAGGAUCCAGAGAGCCCAUCUCCGGUCAGUUAUCUGUAUUUGUAUGUCAACUACAGCAUCAAAAAGCAUAGGCAUGGAUACUAAGGACCCCCUCUGUACACCAACGCCAGUCCAAAGGACAGUGUGUCACUGUGAACUGGAAAUUCAUCUCUCUUCUUCAAUUUUUUUCUACCUACUUUAUGCUUUAUCUCUAAGUUGAGGCUGUUUAUGGCCUCAUCCUCAAUUACCUUGUCCCUCAUUACUCCCAGUUAAUGGAGAUUAAGCUUUGUAUCAUGACUUCCUAACUAAAAUUGAAAUCACAAGACAUCACAUAAAUAAAGUUACAAAUGGAUUAGAU